Molecule: small RNA, 28 nt
Filed under: Bombyx mori (domestic silkworm)
Lineage: Eukaryota; Metazoa; Arthropoda; Insecta; Lepidoptera; Bombycidae
Description: ovarian small RNA-15208
Source: RNAcentral
GAAGAAGCAAAAUAAUCUACGGAGGAGA